AGUGAACGCUGGCGGUAGGCCUAACACAUGCAAGUCGAACGGCAGCACAGUAAGAGCUUGCUCUUAUGGGUGGCGAGUGGCGGACGGGUGAGGUAUACAUCGGAAUCUACUUUUUCGUGGGGGAUAACGUAGGGAAACUUACGCUAAUACCGCAUACGACCUACGGGUGAAAGCAGGGGAUCUUCGGACCUUGCGCGAAUGAAUGAGCCGAUGUCGGAUUAGCUAGUUGGCGGGGUAAAGGCCCACCAAGGCGACGAUCCGUAGCUGGUCUGAGAGGAUGAUCAGCCACACUGGAACGGAGACACGGUCCAGACGCCUACGGGAGGCAGCAGUGGGGAAUAUUGGACAAUGGGCGCAAGCCUGAUCCAGCCAUACCGCGUGGGUGAAGAAGGCCUUCGGGUUGUAAAGCCCUUUUGUUGGGAAAGAAAAGCAGCAGGUUAAUACCCCGCUGUUCUGACGGUACCCAAAGAAUAAGCACCGGCUAACUUCGUG
RNAcentral lists this ribosomal RNA (492 nucleotides) under uncultured bacterium. Its description in RNAcentral is "partial 16S ribosomal RNA". It matches the Rfam family "Bacterial small subunit ribosomal RNA", at positions 29 to 507 of the family's 1533-position model. The record is from RNAcentral.